This is a long non-coding RNA of Sinocyclocheilus grahami, 570 nucleotides long. RefSeq lists it as uncharacterized. The record is from RefSeq and is a predicted model, not a curated record. Lineage: Eukaryota; Metazoa; Chordata; Actinopteri; Cypriniformes; Cyprinidae. The transcript has 3 exons.
GGUGUUUGGAGGCUGGUUGAUGCUCUGUGCAGUCUGAAUCCUCUCCGUCAAGAUAACGCCACCUGCUGGCAGGAGCAGCAGCUGGACUCUGCCUUCCGCCAGUAUUCUCUGCGCUGUCUGUUAUCUCAGGAUGUGCUGUUGCAAGAGGAUGUUGAGCUGAUCGAGCUCUUGGAUCCAAGUGUGCUCUCUCUGGGCUCCACUGAUACCGUCUGCCCCAGUGCCAGCACUGCUGUGCCAGCGCCACACUACCUCUCGCCACCCUCUAUAUGGGAUGUGUCGGUUUUGGUCGGGCUGCUAGCUGUCCUGCUCGGCGUGUGCUUGUCGUACCCUGACCACGAGUGGGCUCUGUGGCUGUGCGUUGUCCUGGUGUGUGUUACGUGUGUGUGUCGUGGUCUGUCUCUGUGGCGUAAGGCCGCUCUUCAGCGACGCGUCCAGUCUUUGGCUCUCCAGCUGGAGGGUUUGGUGAACAACAGCCGAGCGCUGACCAGUCUGUCUCGCAAAUCACUGCGACUCAUACAGGAGACAGAAGUCAUCUCACGAGGAUUCACCCUGUAAGUGUCACCACACACA